This 474-nucleotide ribosomal RNA is filed under the name uncultured organism. RNAcentral's name for it is "partial 16S ribosomal RNA". It matches the Rfam family "Bacterial small subunit ribosomal RNA", at positions 332 to 797 of the family's 1533-position model. The record is from RNAcentral.
UACACUCCUGCGGGAGGCAGCAGUGGGGAAUUUUGGACAAUGGGCGAAAGCCUGAUCCAGCAAUGCCGCGUGCAGGAUGAAGGCCUUCGGGUUGUAAACUGCUUUUGUACGGAACGAAAAAGCUCCUUCUAAUACAGGGGGCCCAUGACGGUACCGUAAGAAUAAGCACCGGCUAACUACGUGCCAGCAGCCGCGGUAAUACGUAGGGUGCGAGCGUUAAUCGGAAUUACUGGGCGUAAAGCGUGCGCAGGCGGUUAUGUAAGACAGAUGUGAAAUCCCCGGGCUCAACCUGGGAACUGCAUUUGUGACUGCAUGGCUAGAGUACGGUAGAGGGGGAUGGAAUUCCGCGUGUAGCAGUGAAAUGCGUAGAUAUGCGGAGGAACACCGAUGGCGAAGGCAAUCCCCUGGACCUGUACUGACGCUCAUGCACGAAAGCGUGGGGAGCAAACAGGAUUAGAUACCCUAGUAGUCCCA